RNAcentral lists this microRNA precursor (99 nucleotides) under Oryza glaberrima (African rice). Its description in RNAcentral is "pre miRNA MIR439". Lineage: Eukaryota; Viridiplantae; Streptophyta; Magnoliopsida; Poales; Poaceae. RNAcentral also lists the same sequence under 1 other name. The record is from RNAcentral.
AGGUACCCUGUUGAAGACAACCGCAGUUUGAUAGGUACCUUGUUGAAUUGUGGUUGUUCGAUAUGUACCCCUGUCGAAUUGUGGAUGUUCGACAGGGUA